This 283-nucleotide unclassified non-coding RNA is filed under the name uncultured Dothideomycetes. RNAcentral describes it as "sequence contains ITS1". The stretch from base 1 to 105 matches the Rfam family "5.8S ribosomal RNA", at positions 50 to 154 of the family's 154-position model. The record is from RNAcentral. Lineage: Eukaryota; Fungi; Ascomycota; Dothideomycetes.
GAAAUGCGAUAAGUAAUGUGAAUUGCAGAAUUCAGUGAAUCAUCGAAUCUUUGAACGCACAUUGCACCUCUUGGUAUUCCUUGAGGUAUGCCUGUUCGAGCGCCGUUUGAAUCCUAAAGCUUUUGCUUUGUGUUGAGCUAUGUCGGUUUAGCCGACAAGCUUCAAAUUCAUUUUGCCCAAGUCAAUUUGUGUAAAGCAGUGAAAGUGCUAAACUCAUCUUUGACAAAGGCAUGUCAAACGAUCGCAUGGCCUCGGAUCAGGUAGGGCUACCCGCUGAACUUAA